UCCUUAUUGGCUCCCCAUAUCCCAGGCUAAAGUACAAAUUUAUUAAUUGUAAUACUUAAUUGAAAUUAACUGUGUUUUAUGGUAUUAAGCACUGUUCUAAAUGCUUUACAUUUAUUUAUUCUCACAAUUUAGCAUUCUCAGUUUACAGCUGAGGAAACUAAGCUUCAAGUUGCCCAAGUUUAUAGAAUGAGUCAAUGGCAGAGGUUGAACUCAGAUGACAAAAUUGGGGUCUGGACAUGUGCAAGGACUUUUCCGAAGUCAGCUGGAAAGACAUUUGCCUCCCUUGAGCCAAAUCCUUGCCAAGGCCUAUAAGAAGGUAGGAGAAGGUGGGACCUUGACCUGUGUUGGGGACUCUGCUAUGGGAAGUAGGUUCACGACUUGCUCCCCCAUGGACUAAGCAAACAAAUGAAGAACAGUGGUAUUGGUGGCUUCUGAACUUCUUAAUCCUGAAUAGUUUGGUUUUCACAGAUCUCUGGGAAGACACCCUCCCUUCAACAAAGUUGGUAUAGCACCAUAUGAGAGAGUCUUAGAUUUCAUUGACUCCCAAAAGUCCAAGAAGUUUAAUGGGGAUAAUGAGUCUUCCCUGCUUAUAUUAGUUAUCUGUUG
RNAcentral lists this long non-coding RNA (606 nucleotides) under Pan troglodytes (chimpanzee). Its description in RNAcentral is "long non-coding RNA NONPTRT004327". Lineage: Eukaryota; Metazoa; Chordata; Mammalia; Primates; Hominidae. The record is from RNAcentral.